ACUUGGCUGGCCUGGUCGAAGGGCACGUGACUCUUGAUCUCAGGGUCAUGAGUUCAAGUCCCAUGUUGAGUG
This 72-nucleotide transfer RNA is filed under the name Felis catus (domestic cat). It matches the Rfam family "tRNA". From Rfam's summary of the family: Transfer RNA (tRNA) molecules are approximately 80 nucleotides in length. RNAcentral also lists the same sequence under 2 other names. Lineage: Eukaryota; Metazoa; Chordata; Mammalia; Carnivora; Felidae. The record is from Rfam by way of RNAcentral.